This 406-nucleotide ribosomal RNA is filed under the name uncultured bacterium. Its description in RNAcentral is "partial 16S ribosomal RNA". It matches the Rfam family "Bacterial small subunit ribosomal RNA", at positions 30 to 526 of the family's 1533-position model. The record is from RNAcentral.
AUUGAACGCUGGCGGCAGGCCUAACACAUGCAAGUCGAACGAGUGGCGGACGGGUGAGUAACGUCUGGGACACUGCCUGAUGGAGGGGGAUAACUACUGGAAACGGUAGCUAAUACCGCAUACCAUCAGAUGUGCCCAGAUGGGAUUAUCUAGUUGGUGGGGUAACGUCUCACCAAGGCGACGAGCCCGAACUGGUCUGAGAGUAUGAACAGCCAAACUGGAACUGAGACACGGUCCAGACUCCUACGGGAUGCAGCAGUGGGGAAUAUUGCACAAUGGGCGCAGGCCUGAGGCAGCCAUGCCGCGUGUAUGAAGAAGGCCGUCGGGUUGUAAAGUACUUUCAGCGGGGAGGCGUUACCCGCAGAAGAAGCACCGGCUAACUCCGUGCCAGCAGCCGCGGUAAUAC